Molecule: ribosomal RNA, 280 nt
Filed under: Acinetobacter sp. TB52
Lineage: Bacteria; Pseudomonadati; Pseudomonadota; Gammaproteobacteria; Moraxellales; Moraxellaceae
Description: partial 16S rRNA
Rfam family: Bacterial small subunit ribosomal RNA
Source: RNAcentral
GAUUGAACGCUGGCGGCAGGCUUAACACAUGCAAGUCGAGCGGAGCGAGGGUGCUUGCACCUUAGCUUAGCGGCGGACGGGUGAGUAAUGCUUAGGAAUCUGCCUAUUAGUGGGGGACAACAUUCCGAAAGGAAUGCUAAUACCGCAUACGCCCUACGGGGGAAAGCAGGGGAUCUUCGGACCUUGCGCUAAUAGAUGAGCCUAAGUCGGAUUAGCUAGUUGGUGGGGUAAAGGCCUACCAAGGCGACGAUCUGUAGCGGGUCUGAGAGGAUGAUCCGCC